UACAGAGGUCUCAAGCGUUGUUCGGAUUCAUUGGGCGUAAAGGGUGUGUAGGUGGCGCCGUAAGUCAGGUGUGAAAUUUCGGAGCUUAACUCCGAAACUGCAUUCGAUACUGCUUUGCUUGAGGACUGGAGAGGAGAUUGGAAUUCACGGUGUAGCAGUGAAAUGCGUAGAUAUCGUGAGGAAGACCAGUGGCGAAGGCGGAUCUCUGGACAGUUCCUGACGCUGAGGCGCGAAGGCCAGGGGAGCGAACAGG
RNAcentral lists this ribosomal RNA (253 nucleotides) under uncultured bacterium. RNAcentral describes it as "partial 16S ribosomal RNA". It matches the Rfam family "Bacterial small subunit ribosomal RNA", at positions 524 to 776 of the family's 1533-position model. The record is from RNAcentral.